AUCUAUGGCUAUACCACCCUGAAUAUAUCAGAUAUAGACAGAUGUCUGAUUUCUAAAGCUAAUCUGUGUGGAGUCUGGUUAGUAUUUGCAUGGGAGACUGCUUGGGAAUACUAGGUGUUGUAGACU
RNAcentral lists this ribosomal RNA (126 nucleotides) under Dasypus novemcinctus (nine-banded armadillo). The record is from RNAcentral. Lineage: Eukaryota; Metazoa; Chordata; Mammalia; Cingulata; Dasypodidae.